AAAGAAACUAACAAGAAUUCCCCUAGUAACGGCGAGUGAAGCGGGAAAAGCUCAAAUUUGUAAUCUGGCGCCUUGGGCGUCCGAGUUGUAAUCUCGAGAAGUAUUUUCCGCGCUGGACCGCACAUAAGUCUGUUGGAAUACAGCGUCAUAGUGGUGAGAACCCCGUAUAGGGUGCGGAUGCCCAGUGCUUUGUGAUAUACUUUCGAAGAGUCGAGUUGUUUGGGAAUGCAGCUCAAAUUGGGUGGUAAAKUCCAUCUAAAGCUAAAUAUUGGCGAGAGACCGAUAGCGAACAAGUACCGUGAGGSAAAGAUGAAAAGCACUUUGGAAAGAGAGUUAACAGUACGUGAAAUUGUUGGAAGGGAAACGCUUGAAGUCAGACUUGCAUUUUGGAGUUCAGCCGCAAGGUGUAUUCUUCAAUUCGCAGGCCAGCAUCAGUUUUUGGGGGUGGAAAAGCGCGGUUCGAAGGUAGCAGUCUCGGCUGUGUUAUAGCUUGCCGCUGGAUUCACUUUUGGGGACUGARGAACGCAGUAUACUUUUUGCAAGAUUCUCGGAUCUUUCGUACUUAGGAUGCUGGUGGAAUGGCUUUAAACGACCCGUCUUGAAACACGGACCAAGGAGUCUAACAUGCUUGCGAGUGUUUGGGUGUUAAACCCGGACGCGUAAUGAAAGUGAAUGGAGGUGGGAUCCGCAAGGUGCACCAUCGACCGAUCUGGAUUUUCUAAGAUGGAUUUGAGUAAGAGCAAUUAUGUUGGGACCCGAAAGAUGGUGAACUAUGCCUGAAUAGGGUGAAGCCAGAGGAAACUCUGGUGGAGGCUCGUAGCGGUUCUGACGUGCAAAUCGAUCGUCAAAUUUGGGUAUAGGGGCGAAAGACUAAUCGAACCAUCUAAUGUUGCUUGGUGGUUAAUAGGGACUUCAAAGUAGAGCCCUAGUGGGAGUGGUAACUUGCGACACUUUCAAAUUGCGGGGACGCCCUUAGAGCUCUGAUUACGGCGGCUCAUCGAAAGAUAGAGUGCAGCAGCAGGUUAAUGGCCUCGCGGAUCGUAAAAACAUCAGAGAUUGGGUAAUCCGCAGCCAAGUCCUAAAGGGUACCUUUCAGCUACCCCAUGGAUGCAGUUCAUCGACUAAAUGGAAGUGGGUGCCCUUCCUUUACCGGAAGGGUGCUUGAGAUAUAGUCAGCCCCUCGUGAGAGCGAGCUAAUGGGACUAAGAGUCGCUUCGUUUUUACCACUUGCAAACGACGAUUCCCGAGCCCAUUGGGGUCUAAGAGGAAAUAGUAAAACUCGAAGACUGGAUUACGUGCUAGUAGCUGGUUCCUGCCGAAGUUUCCCUCAGGAUAGCAGAAACUCACAUCAGUUCUAUGAGGUAAAGCGAAUGAUUAGAGGCCUUGGGGUUGAAACAACCUUAACCUAUUCUCAAACUUUAAAUAUGUAGGAAGUCCUUGCUACUUUG
RNAcentral lists this ribosomal RNA (1448 nucleotides) under Microbotryum saponariae. Its description in RNAcentral is "LSU rRNA". It matches the Rfam family "Eukaryotic large subunit ribosomal RNA", at positions 58 to 1094 of the family's 3401-position model. Lineage: Eukaryota; Fungi; Basidiomycota; Microbotryomycetes; Microbotryales; Microbotryaceae. The record is from RNAcentral.